UUUGAUGGAGAGUUUGAUCCUGGCUCAGGACGAACGCUGGCGGCGUGCUUAACACAUGCAAGUCGAACGGGGUGUGCACGGUAGUAAUACUGUGUACAUCUAGUGGCGAACGGGUGCGUAACACGUGAGCAACCUGCCCCGAAGUCUGGGAUAACACUGGGAAACCGGUGCUAAUACUGGAUGUCCUCUCUUGAUCGCAUGGUCAGUUGAGGAAAGUUUUUCGCUUCGGGAGGGGCUCGCGGCCUAUCAGCUUGUUGGUGAGGUAACGGCUCACCAAGGCUUCGACGGGUAGCUGGUCUGAGAG
RNAcentral lists this ribosomal RNA (304 nucleotides) under Acidimicrobiaceae bacterium. Its description in RNAcentral is "partial 16S ribosomal RNA". It matches the Rfam family "Bacterial small subunit ribosomal RNA", at positions 1 to 298 of the family's 1533-position model. The record is from RNAcentral. Lineage: Bacteria; Bacillati; Actinomycetota; Acidimicrobiia; Acidimicrobiales; Acidimicrobiaceae.